Long non-coding RNA from Lolium rigidum, 1115 nucleotides. RefSeq lists it as uncharacterized. The transcript is spliced from 6 exons. Lineage: Eukaryota; Viridiplantae; Streptophyta; Magnoliopsida; Poales; Poaceae. The record is from RefSeq and is a predicted model, not a curated record.
CCAGCCCCUCCCCUGCCUCCCCGAUGUUGCCGCCCUUUCCUCGCACCGGCGGCACACAAGAUUCCGGUCACCGAAGAGCCCGAGUCGCCACUGGAGAUCCUGGGAAGGGCAAGAGAAACCAAGCUCGGCAUGCUCGCGGAAGGCCAGACGGCGGUGAGCUAGAAGCCGACUGAGGUCUCCAUCUGAUUCGCGGUGCGGCCAACGCUCGCGUGUUGGAAGGCUCCGCGGCGCUGGAAUCCUCCUCCCGCGGGACAAGAGCCGGUGAAUCUUAGCAAGCGCAGAGGGAUGCCGGCGAGGAUGCCCUGCUCUGGUCCUAUCGCUUCCGCGCCUCUCCAACGCUUAAAGGCUCAAAUGAUUCCAUGAGCUGUUGAUGGUACUGGUACAACUAUUAAUCAUAGGAUGCAGCUUUAUUCAGGUCCACUAUCAACAUUUUAAAUGUUGAUGAUUUGUCGGAUGGCAAAAUUUGAGGAGGUACUGUGGAAGAUGAAAAUGGCAAUAUUGCAUGCGACACAAGGAAGAUAAUGAUGUCCUUGUCCAGUAUAUAUAAGAUCAUGAGGGGAACACUGACCUAUUUGUGUCAUGAGGGAAACAUGAUCAAUAGUAGAGGAUUGGGGUACAUCCAUGUUAAGAACGUGAGCUUCAGAUUUCUUCUGGAGUCUGUCCUGCCGUUGUUUCUUGCGGCAUAUCAGUUCCAUCUGGCAUACAACAGGAAAUCAUGAACCCAUAAAUUAGAAACAGGUACUCCGCUUUCUUCUCAUCAAACAAUCGGGCAUACCAGCUCAGUUUCUUUUCUGACUGUACACUCGAGGUGCAACAACAGGUCGUGGUUGAUCUGCCCAACUACAUCAGGAGAACAUGAGCAAACUUAUCCGAAGAUACAUCCUUUGGGUUUCGUCCAAGUGUGGCAUGCAAAUUUUGAAGCAACCGGUAACUGCUUUACAGUUGGUAAAUUCAUGUUCUAGUAUUAUGGAGAUAGUAUGUAAAUAGAUGCAGCAACACUGAAACUGGCUUAAUGUAAAUUCAAGUUAAAUUUAUUUGUACCCACAUGUGCAUGUAUCCUUGGCGGUUGUGGCACUUGGUUCUUCGACGACGUCUGGGCAACUUGCUUUCUCAAC